RNAcentral lists this transfer RNA (66 nucleotides) under Temnoscheila virescens. RNAcentral describes it as "tRNA-Asn". Lineage: Eukaryota; Metazoa; Arthropoda; Insecta; Coleoptera; Trogossitidae. The record is from RNAcentral.
UUAAUUGAAACCAAAGUAGAGGUAUGUCACUGUUAAUGACAACAAUGAAUAAAAAUUCCAAUUAAA